RNAcentral lists this long non-coding RNA (275 nucleotides) under Manihot esculenta (cassava). Its description in RNAcentral is "long non-coding RNA (MESC_LNC000185)". Lineage: Eukaryota; Viridiplantae; Streptophyta; Magnoliopsida; Malpighiales; Euphorbiaceae. The record is from RNAcentral.
UGAGAGGUACUCGUUACUCUAUGGGGUUAACAGGAGUUUCUCUUGAGAGGAAAGGUAUAGAUACUUUUCACUUGUUCUGUCAAGAGCACAGUAGUAUAGCAUCAGUAGAGAGGGUACAUCAAGGGACCCUAGUUGGUCUUUUGAUGCAGUCAGAGGGGGACUGGACCCUAGAGGAUGUCAGUGGUCAGAGAGGAGUUAAUAGCAGAGUUAGAGAUUCAGAGCAGAAGUUAAGAGAUAAGAGGUUCAGAGAAGAGUUAGUAUAAAAAGUUAAGAAC